RNAcentral lists this ribosomal RNA (867 nucleotides) under Tolypocladium inflatum. Its description in RNAcentral is "LSU rRNA". It matches the Rfam family "Eukaryotic large subunit ribosomal RNA", at positions 38 to 935 of the family's 3401-position model. Lineage: Eukaryota; Fungi; Ascomycota; Sordariomycetes; Hypocreales; Ophiocordycipitaceae. The record is from RNAcentral.
GCAUAUCAAUAAGCGGAGGAAAAGAAACCAACAGGGAUUGCCCCCAGUAACGGCGAGUGAAGCGGCAACAGCUCAAAUUUGAAAUCUGGCCCCCAGGGCCCGAGUUGUAAUUUGCAGAGGAUGCUUUUGGCGCGGCGCCUUCCGAGUUCCCUGGAACGGGACGCCAUAGAGGGUGAGAGCCCCGUCUGGUCGGACGCCAAGCCAGUGUAAAGCUCCUUCGACGAGUCGAGUAGUUUGGGAAUGCUGCUCUAAAUGGGAGGUAUAUGUCUUCUAAAGCUAAAUAUAGGCCAGAGACCGAUAGCGCACAAGUAGAGUGAUCGAAAGAUGAAAAGCACUUUGAAAAGAGGGUUAAACAGUACGUGAAAUUGUUGAAAGGGAAGCACUUGUGACCAGACUUGGGCCCGGUGAAUCAUCCAGCGUUCUCGCUGGUGCACUUCGCCGGGCCCAGGCCAGCAUCAGUUCGCCGCGGGGGAUAAAAGCUUCGGGAACGUAGCUCCCUCGGGAGUGUUAUAGCCCGUUGCAUAAUACCCUGCGGUGGACUGAGGUUCGCGCUCCGCAAGGAUGCUGGCGUAAUGGUCACCAGUGACCCGUCUUGAAACACGGACCAAGGAGUCGUCUUCGUAUGCGAGUGUUCGGGUGUCAAACCCCUACGCGUAAUGAAAGUGAACGCAGGUGAGAGCUUCGGCGCAUCAUCGACCGAUCCUGAUGUUCUCGGAUGGAUUUGAGUAAGAGCAUACGGGGCCGGACCCGAAAGAAGGUGAACUAUGCCUGUAUAGGGUGAAGCCAGAGGAAACACUGGUGGAGGCUCGCAGCGGUUCUGACGUGCAAAUCGAUCGUCAAAUAUGGGCAUGGGGGCGAAAGACUAAU